This 253-nucleotide ribosomal RNA is filed under the name uncultured bacterium. RNAcentral describes it as "partial 16S ribosomal RNA". It matches the Rfam family "Bacterial small subunit ribosomal RNA", at positions 524 to 776 of the family's 1533-position model. The record is from RNAcentral.
UACAGAGGCCUCGAGCGUUAGGCGGAAUCACUGGGCUUAAAGCGUGUGUAGGCGGACUUCUAAGUACCUUGUGAAAUCCCACGGCUCACCCGUGGAACUGCUUGGUAUACUGGUUGUCUUGAGCCUUCUAGGGGCGAGUGGAACAAAUGGUGGGGCGGUGAAAUGCGUAGAUAUCAUUUGGAACGCCAAUGGUGAAAACAGGUCGCUGGGGACGUGCUGACGCUGAGACACGAAAGCCAGGGGAGCGAACGGG